GAUGAAGGAACGUAGCAAAAUGCGAUAAGUAAUGUGAAUUGCAGAAUUCAGUGAAUCAUCGAAUCUUUGAACGCACAUUGCGCCCGCUGGUAUUCCGGCGGGCAUGCCUGUUCGAGCGUCAUUUCAACCCUCAAGCCCCCGGGUUUGGUGUUGGGGAUCGGCUCUGCCCUUCUGGGCGGUGCCGCCCCCGAAAUACAUUGGCGGUCUCGCUGCAGCCUCCAUUGCGUAGUAGCUAACACCUCGCAACUGGAACGCGGCGCGGCCAUGCCGUAAAACCCCAACUUCUGAAUGUUGACCUCGGAUCAGGUAGGAAUACCCGCUGAACUUAAGCAUAUCAAUAAGCGGAGGA
RNAcentral lists this unclassified non-coding RNA (349 nucleotides) under soil metagenome. RNAcentral's name for it is "partial contains 5.8S ribosomal RNA, internal transcribed spacer 2, and large subunit ribosomal RNA". The stretch from base 1 to 121 matches the Rfam family "5.8S ribosomal RNA", at positions 35 to 154 of the family's 154-position model. The record is from RNAcentral.